GACCAGCCAAUCUUUCUUUUCCUUUUAUGGGGCUCUACUCAUUUUUCCUUCAGUGGCCGUAAAUUCAUAAUUCUUUUCUUUUCCUUUUAUGGGGCUCUACUCAUUUUUCCUUUUCUAAAUUUUUUUUUUUUGGGGAGUUGGAAUGCUGCAGUAUGGAGUCUGACCUAUUCAAAUUUGGAGGAUUCGUUAGUAAUAGCAAACUGAAUCUUGUAGCCAGUAGUAGCAACCCGUAAACUUCUUUUUUUUUUUUUUUUUUUGUCAUUGGAUGAUGCUAAGGCUAGCAGGUUAGUUUACUUUUCUCAGUCGGAUGUUGUAAUUGUAGAUUGAAUUAUCAUUCAAUAUAAUUGCGAGUUGAAUUUUCUGUAACAGGUUCCGGAAAUAUGGGUGAAGCCAAACAGUGAUAACUACUAUCAAUGCAUUGGUCGGCCGAGGAAUCGAAUAAGUAAAGUCCGGCUUUAUAUUUUGAUAGCAUGUGCCCUGCAAAACAGCAAGUUAUAAGUUAUUACUAAAUCUUUCAGGGACGGGAUCGGAAACAAAUGGCUAUAUUCUAGCUCAUGCUAAUGGAGGGCUAAAUCAAAUGCGAACAGGAGUGAGUCGAUAGUCAUUCGAUCUUAAUGUGUUCUCAAUGUUAAUUUUAGCUUAUGCAAAAUGAUGAAUAUUUGAUGUAAACGCAGAUAUGUGACAUGGUUGCAAUAGCAAAAAUUAUGAAUGCUACUUUGGUUCUUCCUUCUCUUGAUCACAAGUCAUUCUGGACAGAUCCCAGGUAUAUAUUUAAAGAUACAUAUAACGUUUUUCAUCACAAGCAAUUUUUGUUUGAGCCCGGUACAUUUCUUUGCUUUAUUGAACAUUUUCCUGUUCUUUUCUUGCAGUGAUUUUAAAGAUAUUUUUGAUUGGAAGCAUUUCAUUGGCACAUUAAGAGACGAUAUUGAGAUAGUAGAUUCUUUGCCACCCCAUUUGGCAUCAUCAGUUAAGCCCCUUCCUAAGGCACCUGUUUCUUGGUCCAAGGUAGGGAACCAACAAUCAUUGAAAUCUCUGCAAGUUCUGGUCCAGAUUUCUUAAAGGAAAAAAAAAAAAUUUUGUUUUGCAGCCUAGUUACUACAGAGGAGAAAUUCUUUCCUUGCUAAAGAAACACAAGGUAAUCAAAUUCACCCACACGGAUUCACGUCUUGCCAACAACGGCCUUGCGCCUUCCAUUCAGAGGCUUCGGUGUCGGGCAAAUUACGUGGCUCUCAGAUACACAAAAGAGAUUGAGGAGCUUGGGAGAAAAUUGGUUGAUAGAAUUAGAAGUGAUGGCGAACCAUUUAUUGCGCUUCAUCUGAGGCAAGUAUUUUCACAAAUCUGUGUGUGAUAACUUAAGCUUCCCAAAAAAUUUCGGCUUUUUAGUUAGUUACCAAGAGGAAUAAUGUGGAGCGCAGGUACGAGAAAGACAUGCUUGCAUUCACCGGUUGCAGCCACAAUUUGAGUAGAGAGGAGGUUGAGGAGCUUCGGCGCAUGAGGUACGAUGUGAAGCACUGGAAAGAGAAAGAGAUAGACGGCGAAGAAAAGCGACUCCAAGGAGGCUGCCCAAUGUCUCCGAGGGAGGCGGGUCUCUUUCUCAAGGCCAUGGGUUAUCCAUCAACCACAAGAAUAUACAUAGUUGCAGGAGAAAUCUAUGGGAAUAAUAGUAUGGAUGCAUUCCGGGCAGAGUACACAAACGUUUUCUCGCACUCCACUCUUGCAACAGAGGAAGAGUUGGAGGAACUAAAACACUAUCAGAAUCGUCUUGCUGCUCUGGAUUACGUUAUAGCUCUUCAAAGUGACGUCUUUGUUUACACAUACGAUGGGAACAUGGCAAAGGCUGUACAGGGCCAUAGAAGGUUUGAUGGGUUUCGAAAGACGAUAAAUCCUGACAGGUUUGUCAAUACUGCUGGCUAUUUUGUACUUCACGUUCAGCGCCUUUUUGUUUUUUUUUGGGCGUUACUAAAUCUUCUCAGCAUUCUGCUUCUUUUCAGAUUCAAUUUAGUUAGGCUAAUGGAUAUGUUGGAUGUGGGCACGUUAUCAUGGGAACAGUUUGCCUCGGAAGUCAAGAGUUUACAUGAGAACAGGCUUGGAGCACCAUAUAUUAGACAGGCGGGAGAAUCACCAAGAUUAGAGGAGAACUUAUAUUCUAAUCCGUUUCCUGGAUGUAUUUGUAAUGUAUCUCGAGAACAAGAAAGAAGCCAACAUCAUCACCGAAAAUUUAUUACUAGUUCAAGAAUAGCAUCACAGAGAUAGGGCUCAUAGUUGUUUUUGAGUGUAAAUAAUAAUUUCAAUCGUAGAGCAUAAGAUAUAAAACAGAGAGUGGUGGGCUGUGCAAGAAGUAGCAGCAAUGCGAUUCGGGCCCUUCAUGAUUCAAUUUUGGAGGAUACGGUAGAGGGAGAAAUUCCUUUUUUUUUUUUUGGAUCCCAUUAUGAGAGGCACUGUAAAAUACGGAGUACAGAUAUUCUUUCAUUUAUUGAUUUUGUCCUUGUUUUGGCCUUGUCAACUCAAUUUUUUAGUUACACGUUUACUGUCAUAAAUACGUUCCUGGUCACAAUAAAGAAAAUCUGCUACAGAAAACUCAUCAUCCUCCGACUCCAAGAAAUAUAACCCGAGAAUCCAUAAGAAACGGAUUAUAACUAAUGCAAGUCCAUCAGUUUUGGACCAAAACUUGGGGUUCUGCAGUCAAUACCAGAAAAUUGCAAUAUACAACAAUAACAGAGGGAGGAAUGAACGGAAAAGCAAAUUAUACACCCACAUACCCUAAGAACUGCAACAACGGGGAGAUUUGAUGAUGAAGCGUAAAGAAUUAUUGCAGGCAAAGAAGAUGGUCGUUGUUAAAUGUCUAAUAGUAUAAGGAAAAUCCUAACACCAGUCUUAUCACUUCUGGACCAGAAGCUUGGUUUAGCAGUCGAUACCAGAAGUUGCAAUAGGAACAAAUUCUGCUUUAGGAUCACAUCAAUGGACCAACAAGUGAGAUCCAUGUAUUUGUAUAAACUUCGCCCACAAUGUCAUUUGAUACUUGAGUCAAUUACCAAAAGAAAGAACCACGGCAUCAUUUCAAUGGUCCUUUAAAAAUCUAGGUGUUGGACAAAGUGGUCCGAUAGAAACAACAAAUCUAACUAGUGGACUCUCACAGACCGAAUUCUUGGUGUUUCUAACUCCAGAUUACAGCAAGAUCUAAUAGAAAGAAACUAGAGUAUUUUGCUCGUUGACAUGACUACUGCCGAUUUUACCACAUUGAUGGCACAUAAACCUGCUCUUUCAGAUUCUGAGUAGCACUUUCUGUGGGAAAACCGCGUACAGCUCCUAUAGUCCACUGUGAUAUUAUACCAGCAGCAAUAGCAAAACGAAGCUGCCUCUCCAAAAUAUCCUGAUUUUCAAACAUCUCGGAUACAGUUGUUAGCUUUCUCAUAAUUGCAGCCACAACAGCAUCACCAGAACCUGUUCUAUCACAAGUGAAUGGUGUUAUUAGCACAUCUUCUGUGCCAACCACAACCCCAUCAAAAGAAGGAGCAUAGUAAUGUAUCCGAAGUGUUCCGUCUGUGACAAACAAAAGCUUCAACCCAUCAUGCCAUAAUGGAGAGAUUUCUUCGCGAGUAUAAUGAUAAUAAUCUCGCAGUUUACUUGUUUGUUCAAAAUUCUCAGCAUAGUACUGAGGCGUAUAAUUUCUUCUCCUCUCAUAAUGUUCUUCAUCUAAAAGAAACUCGAGCUCUUGCUUUGAGACCUCAAUGAUAUCUGCUUGUUCCCAGGCUUUCUUGAGCACUUCCCUGGUCAUAUCACGUGACUCCCAUAGUGGCAAUGGGAAAUUUGGGUCAAAAAAAACCAAUGCACCGAACUUUUUAGACCAUGAAAUUGCUCUAAAAAGAGCAGAAUGCAUGGAAGGACAAGUUAAGACUUCAGAAUUAAAAUGGAACAUUCUAGCCUGAAAAAAAAACAAGAAGAAAAACUAGCAUCAAUAUUAGUCACUAAACUUUUUUUUCUCUUAAAACUUUGUUCUAGUUCAUUAAUUGUUUCAAUCAAAUUCACCUCAUAAUUCAUAAACACUUUCUAACCAUAAUAAACAAAUUCAGUAUUAAAAGUGUAUUCCCAGUGCCCAAAGUUUGACUACUUCAAGACAAAUCGUCUGGGAUCAAGAAUACAGCAGUCAGAAGAGAGAAGAACCUUCUCUAAAUCAGUGGUAACGAUAAGAGCACGGACAGAAAUAGUUCAAAAUCAACACACUAAUGGAUCUUAUCCCUGCGUGCAGAUUUCACUAGCCACUCCAAGUUGACCUCUCUAUCACAUAAUCUGUUAGCAGAAUUCGUAAGAGUAUGGACAUAAUUAGAUUUAUCCCAGAAUUGCCCAUUCUAAAACUUGAUCUGCACGAGGAUAUAAUGGUUACUUCAAAUUAGAAAAACUAUCCGGGUAGGGCAGAGAUUGUCCUCUGUUUCAUAGAAUCUCCAAUCUAAUAGCCAAAUGUACAUAAGUACAUCCAUUUUCCUCUGUGCAGACAACAGACCUUUGUUUAAAGGCAACAAUGCAAUAAGAUAACUAACAUUCUUAAUCCAGCAAAGCCAAGAUAAAGUAAAAAUAAGGCAACGGGGGUUGAAGCAUCCUGUACUGGGACAGCGCCUAAUCAACUAAUGAAGAACAUAAUUGAUUAAGUAACUAGUAAACCAUAAAUCGACAAUUAAUAAAGUAAAAAAUUCCUUCAUUGCUAUGUUGUAUAUAGGAGAAAAACAUCCUAACAUCCUCUUUUUUUUUUUGGUUGUUUAAAUUAUUCUUUUACCUCUUUGAGCACGGCAAGAUUCAGUUCGGAGCUUAGUAACGAAUCCUCUGCAGAUUCUUUCACCUUUUCCAUCCUCAUUUUGCCAUCAUUAUCGUGCUUAAUUUUCAUAUAGGCACAGGCAGUCCUCACAUUGCUGUCGAAUUUCACUGCCCUCGUCUGCACCUUCUCAGUAUUCAUAAGCAACACCAUCUCUCUUCCAAAUUCAUCAUCCCCAACCUUCCCCAUAAAAGCAGCCCUCCCACCAAGCCUGGCGUGAGAAACAGCCACAUUGGAAGGCGGUCCGCCAGGAGACCUAACAAACUCUGGAGGGUUCCACUGCAGCAUUUUCCAUUGAGAAUAGAUAUCCGGGUGCAUUUGCUCCGGUGCCACUCUUAUGGUGGGCACAAACUCCUUCUGGGCUGCCCCAAAACAGCAGAUUAGAGGCGGGUACUCGUACGGGAAAUCAAUACCAUCAUCAUAGUAAUCAAGCUCCUCCUGUUUAUCGGUUACAGGUACAUCAUUUUGGGUGUUCUGUGGUUGGCUUUUCCGAGGUCCUCUGGGUCUUUUUGUCGUCGAGGUUGCGGAAGACGAAGUGGUGGUGGUGGACCGAGCUUUUUUGCGGCCUCGGCGGGAAGGCUUUGGCGGUUCUGCGGUGGUUGGAUCGUCAUCUGAAGAUGAUUUGGGUGGCAAGAGUUUGUGAAAAGUUCUAGCUUCAGGAAUGGGGACCAGCCAAAUGGUAGAAAUUUGGAAAUGGGCUAGUGAGUUUGAGGCAAAUGAAUGAGAGUUUGGGAGAAAAGAUGGUGUACGAAAUGGAAGGGUUGCCAUGGUUCGGACUUGCAGUUUAGGGUUUAUCCAUUUGCGAUUCUACAAAUUUUCCUAACUAUCUUACCCAACAAAAAAAAAAAAAAAAAGGGGAAAAAGGGCUAACUAUUUUAAAGGGGUUUGUUGUUUCAAUUCUGGCGCUACUUCUGCUUGGUCAUCAUCCACCGAACCGGUUCAGAAUGAACUAUUUAACGGGCCAAGUUGACCAUCCUGGUGGUGUUCUCAUAUCAUAUGAAAAGACUAAUUUACCUUUACAUUUCGUUUCAUGGAGUAAUAUAUAUAUAUUUUUGGUUAUCUUUUUUGGUCUUUACUGCAAUACAAAAAAUCGCAUAAUAUAGCAAAUCAAGCUGGAGUUGAUCUUAGAAAUAGCAAUGAAUCAUAUACCAAAUCAAAUUUUUUUUUUUGUCAAAUGAUAUACCAGUUCAAUUCGGCAUAGCUAUUUUUUGCAUUUUUACAGAGUGAAAGAAUCGACAAAUGUUAGGUCAAGAUUGGAAAAAGCACGCCUCAAUUUAAAGAAAAAUUUGCCUAAUUUGUUUACAUUGAAAUUUUAAUGGUACUUUAUCCAUUUCUAUGAACGUUGAGGUGUGAUUUUUGUGAACACCUAUAAUCCAAUUAUCAUUCUUGUAAUUAAAAUAACAACCCUAAAAGAGGCGCAAACCUUAAAAAGUACGUACGGAUGCGUUGUGCAUCCGUUUGAUCCGGUGAUGAUUCAAUCUCCUUUAGUUAUCCUUGGACCUGUUCAGGUCCCCUCCCUCUAAUAUAGAAUAGUAUAGUAUAGGUCUAAUAUAGAAUAGUGUAGCGUAGGUCUGUCAUAUCCAAAAAAAAAAAUUAAAAAAUUAAAAGGAGCCGUAGACUGAACCGUACUCCGGGCCUCUUUAGGGUAAGGUUAAACUGACGGACACAGGUUAACUUGCAAGAUAAAGAAUUUUAAGUAUACAGCAGGUUAUCUUUCUUGGCUCUGUGCCAUUACCAGUUUAUGGCAAAUAGCAGCUCGUGUCAUUUUGCAGCUUUCUUCUAAUCGAGCAAAAUUCCUGUCCCAGCCCUUUUCUCAACGAAGAAACUUGUACGUAUAUUAGAAUCCUUUUAUUCUCGACGACAUGUAUUGUAGUAGUUUAGUAACUAAUAAUAAUACCGCCAUACAAAACAUAAUAGUAGCAUGGACAUGGCAUGGAACCGAUCCGAUGGCAUUAGAUUUUGUGAAUGUAGUUACCAUUUCCAUUGCUGCUUUUCAUACAACUGAUGAUCAAGAAAAAGGCAAAUGCAGCUAAUACAACAGCUUCACAUAAUUUUGAAUUUUGAUGAUAUCCUCAUUAUAACAUAAAAAAUAAAGACUACUACUAGCGGUACUUUAACACACUGAAAGUACUACACAGAGCCAGAUUACUUUUCAGUUAUGCUACCACCACGGAAACUAGUACUAGUAGAUGAAUUUGCCU
Molecule: long non-coding RNA, 7005 nt
Filed under: Coffea arabica (coffee)
Lineage: Eukaryota; Viridiplantae; Streptophyta; Magnoliopsida; Gentianales; Rubiaceae
Description: long non-coding RNA (CARA_LNC004433)
Source: RNAcentral